RNAcentral lists this ribosomal RNA (206 nucleotides) under uncultured bacterium. RNAcentral describes it as "partial 16S ribosomal RNA". It matches the Rfam family "Bacterial small subunit ribosomal RNA", at positions 568 to 774 of the family's 1533-position model. The record is from RNAcentral.
CACGUAGGCGGACCAUUAAGUCAGGGUGAAAGCCUGGAGCUCAACUCCAGAACUGCCUUUGAUACUGAUGGUCUCGAGUGUGGAAGAGGUUGGUGGAACUGCGGGUGUAGAGGUGAAAUUCGUAGAUAUUCGCAAGAACACCAGUGGCGAAGGCGGCCAACUGGUCCAUUACUGACGCUGAGGUGCGAAAGCGUGGGGAGCAAACA